Molecule: ribosomal RNA, 979 nt
Filed under: Listeria monocytogenes
Lineage: Bacteria; Bacillati; Bacillota; Bacilli; Caryophanales; Listeriaceae
Description: partial 23S ribosomal RNA
Rfam family: Bacterial large subunit ribosomal RNA
Source: RNAcentral
UUCUAAGGGCGGUGAAGUCAGACCGGAAGGACUGGUGGAGCGCUUAGAAGUGAGAAUGCCGGUAUGAGUAGCGAAAGAAGGGUGAGAAUCCCUUCCACCGAAUAUCUAAGGUUUCCUGAGGAAGGCUCGUCCGCUCAGGGUUAGUCGGGACCUAAGCCGAGGCCGAUAGGCGUAGGCGAUGGACAACAGGUAGAGAUUCCUGUACCAGUGCUAAUUGUUUAACCGAUGGGGUGACACAGAAGGAUAGGGAAUCGCACGAAUGGAAAUGUGCGUCCAAGCAGUGAGUGUGAGAAGUAGGCAAAUCCGCUUCUCGCGAAGCAUGAGCUGUGAUGGGGAAGGAAAUUAAGUACGGAAGUUCCUGAUUUCACGCUGUCAAGAAAAGCCUCUAGGAAGAGUAGUACUGCCCGUACCGCAAACCGACACAGGUAGAUGAGGAGAGAAUCCUAAGGUGAGCGAGAGAACUCUCGUUAAGGAACUCGGCAAAAUGACCCCGUAACUUCGGGAGAAGGGGUGCUCUAUUAGGGUGCAAGCCCGAGAGAGCCGCAGUGAAUAGGCCCAGGCGACUGUUUAGCAAAAACACAGGUCUCUGCAAAACCGUAAGGUGACGUAUAGGGGCUGACGCCUGCCCGGUGCUGGAAGGUUAAGAGGAGUGCUUAGCUUCGGCGAAGGUACGAAUUGAAGCCCCAGUAAACGGCGGCCGUAACUAUAACGGUCCUAAGGUAGCGAAAUUCCUUGUCGGGUAAGUUCCGACCCGCACGAAAGGCGCAACGAUCUGGGCACUGUCUCAACGAGAGACUCGGUGAAAUUAUAGUACCUGUGAAGAUGCAGGUUACCCGCGACAGGACGGAAAGACCCCGUGGAGCUUUACUGCAACCUGAUAUGGAAUGUUUGUACCGCUUGUACAGGAUAGGUAGGAGCCGAAGAGACGUGUGCGCUAGCAUACGAGGAGGCAAUGGUGGGAUACUACCCUGGCUGUAUG